RNAcentral lists this ribosomal RNA (254 nucleotides) under uncultured bacterium. RNAcentral's name for it is "partial 16S ribosomal RNA". It matches the Rfam family "Archaeal small subunit ribosomal RNA", at positions 474 to 727 of the family's 1478-position model. The record is from RNAcentral.
UACCGGCAGCACGAGUGAUGACCGCUAUUAUUGGGCCUAAAGCGUCCGUAGCUGGCCACGCAAGUUCGUCGGGAAAUCUGCGCGCUUAACGCGCAGGCGUCCGGUGGAAACUGUGUGGCUUGGGACCGGAAGACCAGAGGGGUACGUCCGGGGUAGGAGUGAAAUCCCGUAAUCCUGGACGGACCACCGGUGGCGAAAGCGCCUCUGGAAGACGGAUCCGACGAUGAGGGACGAAAGCUAGGGUCACGAACCGG